CUACUUCUCAUAUUGCUUUAUUCAUGCUUGUACAGCUCUUUGGUAAACACACACAUUUCUAAAAAAAAAAAAGUGCUUCAUAAAUAAACUUUCACUUGACUUGAAACACACACACACACACACAUAUAUUAAAACAACCCGAUUUUGUACAUUGAACAAUGUAUGAAUGUAAUGGGUUUGUUUGUUUUAUUGUUAAUUAAAUUAUAGAACAAAGCCAACUCACAUGGAUUUCAAUAACUAUAUACAAACCAGUACAUGCAUAAAAAAAACUAAAAACAAGGAUCAGCCAAAAUAUAUUUUAUAUAACUGUUUCUGUUUUUAAUGUGAAUACCAGUGGGUUCUAAACAAGUUUUGCUGUAUGAAGAGAAAAAAGAAGGAUUCAACACAAAAAGAUACAAAGUUGAGAGAGAGAGAGAGAGAGAGAGAGAGAGAGAGAGAGAACAAACAUGAUACAGGUUUGAAAUGACAUGAUAGUUAGUAGACGGUGACAGAAUCUUCCCUGUUUUUGGGUGAAUUCUCCUGUUAACUGUGCUACAGAGACGUGAUGUGAGGCCACUGCAGCAGAGUUUAGGUGGAGGUCUCGGUGGGAAGGUCGUAACCGGAGCAGUAAACACCGAGUUACGAGAGACAUCCUGUGUACAUGAUGUUCUCCAGAUGCAGAGGACUGCUUUUACAGCUUCAGGAUUUACUGCCUUCGCUGCUCCUGUCACAGUUUAUUUAGGCUUGAAGCUGACGCUCAGACGAGUGCGUACUGAACGCUCAGAAUACUCCAGUGAGCUGAGAAACACAGUUAUUAAUGAUCCUCUCGUCUUUAACAAGAGCCGCAGAAAUAAAGUUAGAACUCCAGAAAUCUGACUGUGGUUUCUUCUCAAAGCAUGAAGGCAUCCAUCCUUCUGACAGGACCAGGAUGAGAAGGGCUGGGCUGGUCCAGUUUGGUUAAAGAGGGUCAGUUUCACAUUACGCAUGGCUGGGUUUCACAGGUUUGUAAGGGUGACAAGAGAGCUGAUGGUAAAGGGGGGAUAAAAAUAAAGGCGUAGUGAGACCAAGGCAUCAUCACUGCAGAACCCAGCUCACGACUUCCUUCCUGCACCAAGAGAGCCACAAGAGGAAGUGUGUGUGCGUGUGUGUGUGUGUGUGUGUGUGUGUGUGUGUGUAUGUGUGUGUGUGAAUGCAAGGGUGUAACUAGUUUAAUACGGCAUAAAAAACUAACAACACAGAGUUAGUGUUAGAGAAGACUGAGGAAAAGCGUGUGUGAGUGCAGAACUUAUAAAGCGUCUGCUUAUGAAAAGCCUUCAGUGCCAGUGACUCGCACUGCCCACUGGCGGCCGAGAGAGAUCGGAUAGCUAUUAGAGAACGAGCCGUCAGAAACACAUGCCUACUCACAGGUUUUGUGUGGGAGAAUCUGCUGCUGGGAUACAGAGAUAAAUCAUCUCCUACAGAAACAGAGGAAAGACAGCGAUGGGCUUUAAUACGCCUCCAGAGUAAGACACAGAGGGAGAUGCGAUGUUAAGACCUCUUGCACAUGCAUGCAAUGAUUUAUUUCUACUAAGUCUUUCAUUUCAUAAUAAACUCAAACAUGGCAUGCACUUCAUUCGUCUUCACAGGUCUUUGCAACCAUGCAAAAAAAAAUCAUGCAUCUCAGAUUCUUCAUUUAAUUAAACAGGAUGAAGCACAUUCAACUACAACACAGUUUUUUUUUUUUUUUUUUUACUAAAUACUAUGUAUAGUAGUAAUAUAUCAGACCAGAAGAAUUAGAGGUCAAUCGAUGCUGGAUUCUACUGAUGCAAUAAUAUUUAAAGAUAACUGUGCUUCUGAUCUAUAUUUUGCAUGUUCUUAGUCUUUGCUUUCUAUGAUGGGGACUGUGCAAAUUAUAUCCAAAAAAAGUCUUUAAGCAUAAUGUGGGGCAUUUAAUUAUAAACAAGCCCUGAAUACACAAGGACUUUUAUUUUGGAAGGUCUAUGCUUUGCUCCUUCGAGCAGCUCAUUCAAACAGAUGCAGGGAAAGAAUAUGAACACAUACAACCAUCAACAAUAUAUAAACAGUGUCAUGAUUAAAUAAUCUGACGAUAGUCACUGACUGAGAACUGCACUGAAACGCUGAGCCUGUAGAAUGCUAAACAUUUGCAUUUUGAUCUUUCUUUAAUUGAGUCAUGUUUAGAAGUUCCCUCUCAUCUCUACACUGAACAUGUGGACUGAAGUACCUGUAGAAUGGGCACAGCGGUGUGUCUCUGGCAUCUGGAAGAACAAAUCCACACAUUUAUCAUCUUCCCGAACCAUGCACCUUUUUAAAAAAUGGUGUGGUGGAUUCUAGCGGUCUCACUUCUGAAAUUACCAAAGUACAGGUCUGGCAGAACCUGGAACGACAACCAAACCAAGAUAACACCAAUCUACAAACUGACACUCUCUCAAUCAGUUCACAGCUCAGAAGAGUUUUCCAGGAUCAUCUGAAUUUGCUGUAACAUCGUGUUUUUGUCAAGCCGUUUAAAACGGACACACUCUGGGACAAGAGGCUUGAACUGUGUUUAUGUA
Molecule: long non-coding RNA, 2528 nt
Organism: Carassius auratus (goldfish)
Lineage: Eukaryota; Metazoa; Chordata; Actinopteri; Cypriniformes; Cyprinidae
Source: Ensembl